AACGAACGCUGGCGGCGUGGAUUAGGCAUGCAAGUCGUACGCGAAAGUGGUAGCAAUACUACGAGUAGAGUGGCGAACUGGUGAGUACAAGGUGACUAACCUGCCCUUGAGUGGGGGAUAACCCGCCGAAAGGCGGGCUAAUACCGCAUGGUCUCUCUGGCUUACGGGCUGGCGAGUAAAGCAGUGAUGCGCUUAAGGAUGGGGUCACCUCCCAUUAGCUAGUUGGUGCGGUAAUGGCGCACCAAGGCUUCGAUGGGUAGCUGGUCUGAGAGGAUGGUCAGCCACACUGGGACUGAGAUACGGCCCAGACUCCUACGGGGGGCAGCAGUCUAGAGGCUUCGUCAAUGCCCGCAAGGGUGAACGAGCGACGCCGCGUGCGGGAAGAAGGGGCUUCGGCUUGUAAACCGCUUUUAUCUGGGAAGAAUAUCCUGGUCGUGAACCAGGAGGGGACGGUACCAGAGGAAUAAGCCCCGGCUAACUCCGUGCCAGCAGCCGCGGUAAGACGGGA
This 508-nucleotide ribosomal RNA is filed under the name uncultured bacterium. Its description in RNAcentral is "bacterial SSU rRNA". It matches the Rfam family "Bacterial small subunit ribosomal RNA", at positions 29 to 530 of the family's 1533-position model. The record is from RNAcentral.